GGAUCAAUAUAUUGGUCAUGCUUAGGUAUGUACUGGUAUUAUUGAUUUCUCCCUUCUGAAGAACCAUGAUGUCAUUUAUUUGAUGUCGUGGGGAAUCGGGACUGUUACUUUGAAAAAAUUAGAGUGUUUAAAGCAGGCUUUCGCUUGAAUACAUUAGCAUGGAAUAAUGAAAUAGGACGUUUGAUUCUAUUUUGUUGGUUUCUAGGAUCGACGUA
Molecule: ribosomal RNA, 215 nt
Filed under: uncultured Glomus
Lineage: Eukaryota; Fungi; Glomeromycota; Glomeromycetes; Glomerales; Glomeraceae
Description: partial small subunit ribosomal RNA
Rfam family: Eukaryotic small subunit ribosomal RNA (bases 43-215)
Source: RNAcentral